RNAcentral lists this non-coding RNA (30 nucleotides) under Mus musculus (house mouse). Lineage: Eukaryota; Metazoa; Chordata; Mammalia; Rodentia; Muridae. The record is from RNAcentral.
UCUACAAGAGAGUCAGGAUGACUUACAGGG